RNAcentral lists this unclassified non-coding RNA (309 nucleotides) under plant metagenome. RNAcentral describes it as "partial contains 5.8S ribosomal RNA, internal transcribed spacer 2, and large subunit ribosomal RNA". The stretch from base 1 to 105 matches the Rfam family "5.8S ribosomal RNA", at positions 50 to 154 of the family's 154-position model. The record is from RNAcentral.
GAAAUGCGAUAAGUAGUGUGAAUUGCAGAAUUCAGUGAAUCAUCGAAUCUUUGAACGCACAUUGCGCCCCUUGGUAUUCCAUGGGGCAUGCCUGUUCGAGCGUCAUUUGUACCCUCAAGCUCUGCUUGGUGUUGGGUGUUUGUCCCGUCUCCGCGCGUGGACUCGCCCCAAAGUGAUUGACAGCCGGCGUACUGGUCCCGGAGCGCAGCACAUGUCGCGCAAACGAGUGCCUUGGUACGGCGGCGUCCAUAAGCCCCUCUCUCACGCUCUUGACCUCGGAUCAGGUAGGGAUACCCGCUGAACUUAAGC